GGGGUGCUGUGUGUGUAUACAGUGUACAGAUUAUCGCUUGCUUCUCUGCCUUUAGCAUAGGACACCACAAAAAAAAGACAAAAAACACAGAAGUUCAACACAGCCAUACAACAACUAUAAAAAAAAAAAAAUGUUUUUUAUAACUAUUUUAACCCAGGACAAACUUGGAGCAAGCCAAAUAUUUCUCACCUUUUCAAUUGGAUUUCAGAAUUCUACCAGCUCUUAUCUUCACGGGGGCGACGACCUGUUGGUCCCCGUGCGCCUCACAGCCCACUCGAAACAUAAAUAAAUUUACGAUGAUGUCACUUAACGGGGUGCCGAUGUAGAAACGGGAAGGGAGUCAUUGUGAAUGUAUCGCCGUGGAAGUUCUGAGGAUGUGACUGCUGGUGUUCCAGACGUACCCUGCUUGUCUCAGCGUUUAGGUGAAGGACAUUGUCCCACAGGCGCCCCACUGCAUUAAUAUUGCGGUUGUCAUCACUGCAGAUGUCCCUGCAGUUGUCCUGGUUUGGGCCCAAAGGAGAUCUUUGGUCUUUUCUUUUGUUGAUAAAUGCUGUUUUGAUUGUAUCAUUCAGUUGUGCAGAACAAGCCUUUUUGAGCCAUCUUAAAGAAUGAUUCACAGCCCUCUGCAAAUUUCCAAAGAUUGUCAAGAUUUUGAAAAGAUUUAAAGCCAUGUGGUAGCAAUGCAUUUUUUAGCAUUUAUAAUGAGGACAGGAGCAAAUCCAUGAAUUUGCCCACUACAAAUAUCCAGGCUUUUGACCCACUAAACAAAAACUAUUUUUUUUUUCCUCUUAACUUUAAACGCCCUUUUGUAUUGUCUGCCAAUUUCUUAGAGCUAAGAUGCAACCUUGAAAUGCUAAAAACCCUAUAGCAUAAUGCCUUAGAUUUUGUCUGUUCUCGUUCUUGUACAUUACACCGCUGUCUGUAUAAAUUUGUAUAAUGACUUGUGUACAAUAUUGAAUGAGUGCAUCAUCUCUCAACGCUUGGCAGUUUGCUGGAGACUCGGUCCCAGUUGAACUGUCCGUCGCCAUUGCUCUCUGUUCUGUGUUGGGUUGAAGACUCUGUUAUUUAACCCCCCCCCCCACUGUUUGUAUGGAAGGAAUGAUGCACAGGGAUGUUGAAGCAAUAUGUAAUAUACUAAAUGGACUUUCUGAGGAAAGCUUACUGUUGUUUUCCCCUGCUCAGAUAUUUUUUUCUGCAUUUUUCACAAGAAUCUCACUGUAUACCUGCAUUCACCUUUGAACCCCUCGUGUGUGUGUGUGUGUGUGUGUGUGUGUGUGUGUGUGAGCGUUUUAUGCAAAAUUAGAUAUACAAGAGAAGUUAAAACCACAGUUAUGCAAGUUGUGAACUAAUAUGGCUUCGCUGAUGCUAUUUGCCUUGUAAAUAAAGAAUUCUGUUAUUGCAGUAUUUAAUUGAGUGUCUUAUUUCAUGUGAUUAAAAGUUACAAAAAAUG
Molecule: long non-coding RNA, 1450 nt
Organism: Gasterosteus aculeatus aculeatus (three-spined stickleback)
Lineage: Eukaryota; Metazoa; Chordata; Actinopteri; Perciformes; Gasterosteidae
Source: Ensembl